GACGACUCAGGUGGCUGGUGGCACUGGUGUGGAACUGGGUGUUUGCCACGUUCCCAUCAGAUUCUGUAACACAAUGACCUUUGGACUGCUGGACAAGCCUGGCACUGGCCAGGUGUCAGUGCCCAGCGCUGCCCGGGUGUCACUGUCAGUGCCAGCACUGCCCGGGUGUCACUGUCGGUGCCAGCGCUGCCCGGGUGUCACUGUCAGUGCCAGCUCUGCCCAGGUGUCACUGUCAGUGCCAGCGCUGCCCGGGUGUCAGUGCCCAGCACUGCCCGGGUGUCACUGUCAGUGCCCAGCGCUGCCCGGGUGUCACUGUCAGUGCCAGCGCUGCCCGGGUGUCACUGUCAGUGCCAGCACUGCCCGGGUGUCACUGUCAGUGCCCAGCCCUGCCCGGGUGUCACUGUCAGUGCCCAGCUCUGCCCGGGUGUCACUGUCAGUGCCAGCACUGCCCGGGUGUCACUGUCGGUGCCAGCACUGCCCGGGUGUCACUGUCAGUGCCAGCUCUGCCCAGGUGUCACUGUCAGUGCCAGCUCUGCCCGGGUGUCACUGUCAGUGCCCAGCACUGCCUGGGUGUCACUGUCAGUGCCAGCGCUGCCCGGGUGUCACUGUCAGUGCCCAGCGCUGCCCGGGUGUCACUGUCGGUGCCCAGCUCUGCCCCGGGUGUCACUGUCAGUGCCCAGCUCUGCCCGGGUGUCACUGUCAGUGCCAGCCCUGCCCGGGUGUCACUGUCAGUGCC
Molecule: long non-coding RNA, 736 nt
Organism: Corvus hawaiiensis (hawaiian crow)
Lineage: Eukaryota; Metazoa; Chordata; Aves; Passeriformes; Corvidae
Exons: 3
Source: RefSeq, a predicted model, not a curated record